AGUACAUUUAUGAGUGAGGACUGAGGAGUCCAACCCCCGCCCCCCAGAACCGUGUGGUCCCUGCAGUACCCUGUUCCAUCCCUGAUGUCAAUCCUGGGAGACUCCCAGUAGGUUUGUCGGGAUCUGCACUGCCCUCCUCUUUUCUGACUCUUGCGAACUCCAAGGUGACCCGUGAUUAAGGGAAGUGGACCUCAGGGGGAGGGGGCGCCGGCAAUUCCAAGAGUCAAACUGAUCCUGUGGGAUGACUGAAUUGCCCGCCAAACAGAAGAGAAUGGGUCUCCACUUCUUCUGAGCCCGUUUUCAGCUCUCGGAAGCCCUAUGCAGGGUCCUUGGAUGUAGUUGCCGACUUCAACCUUGGGAAUCUGAAGACGAGGCUUCAACUGCAGUGAUUGCACUCAGGUCAGCAAAGGGACGAGACCCAGACUCUGCCAGUUGUCAGAGGGAGGAUCCUGAAGAAACUGCAGACACCUGCCUUUUCCAUCUGCCUCAUGAGGCCCCAGGAGUAGCUGUGACGACACUGAGCAGAACCGAGGGGUCCUCACUGCAGAGAAAGGGUGGCCCACGGAAACCUGCCCUGCUCCUUGCUCCAGCCUGGGAGACCUCAGGCUGACAAGAACAGCAGCCUGUGACACCUGGGAGCUCCCCUAAAGAGGAGACCUGGUCCCAUUGUCCUGCUGGC
This 679-nucleotide long non-coding RNA is filed under the name Bos indicus x Bos taurus (hybrid cattle). RNAcentral describes it as "lncRNA (ENSBIXG00005004646.1)". The record is from RNAcentral. Lineage: Eukaryota; Metazoa; Chordata; Mammalia; Artiodactyla; Bovidae.